CUCUAGUAACGGCGAGUGAAGCAGCAAUAGCUCAAAUUUGAAAUCUGGCGUCUUCGACGUCCGAGUUGUAAUUUGUAGAGGAUGCUUCUGAGUAACCACCGACCUAAGUUCCUUGGAACAGGACGUCAUAGAGGGUGAGAAUCCCGUAUGCGGUCGGAAAGGUGCUCUAUACGUAGCUCCUUCGACGAGUCGAGUUGUUUGGGAAUGCAGCUCUAAAUGGGAGGUAAAUUUCUUCUAAAGCUAAAUAUUGGCCAGAGACCGAUAGCGCACAAGUAGAGUGAUCGAAAGAUGAAAAGCACUUUGGAAAGAGAGUUAAAAAGCACGUGAAAUUGUUAAAAGGGAAGGGAUUGCAACCAGACUUGCUCGCGGUGUUCCGCCGGUCUUCUGACCGGUCUACUCGCCGCGUUGCAGGCCAGCAUCGUCUGGUGCCGCUGGAUAAGACUUGAGGAAUGUAGCUCCCUCGGGAGUGUUAUAGCCUCUUGUGAUGCAGCGAGCGCCGGGCGAGGUCCGCGCUUCGGCUAGGAUGCUGGCGUAAUGGUCGUAAUCCGCCCGUCUUGAAACACGGACCAAGGAGUCUAACAUCUAUGCGAGUGU
Molecule: ribosomal RNA, 594 nt
Filed under: Cladosporium cladosporioides
Lineage: Eukaryota; Fungi; Ascomycota; Dothideomycetes; Cladosporiales; Cladosporiaceae
Description: LSU rRNA
Rfam family: Eukaryotic large subunit ribosomal RNA
Source: RNAcentral